UGCAAAACACAGAAGGGGUAGGGAAGCUUUGGUGGCUGUGGGUGGGACUUCACCAGCAAAUCUCUUUAAUGUUGAGGCCCACACCAGUCAAUGUCAUGGGCGUGUGAAAUGGCAGCAGUGGAACAACUCCUAGUAACUUGGCCAGUCACACUUGGAGUAUGGGAGGCAGAGUACAGGUUUGCCAGCUGCAUUGGAACAGAGCAUGCUCAGCGUUGUGAUUGAUCACUGACAAGGAAACAUGGCCUUCAUUUGUACAUCUGAUUGCUGAGGUGUACAUCUCUGAGGAAAUUCUGUCAUGGGAGCAUAAAAUGGUUAAUCAAGGCUCAGUCAACAAGAUGAAAACUCAACAAAUCUAAUACACCAAAAAGCUGACAAAUAAGAAUCACAUCAGUCCGAUGCACAAGACAAGAAAGGUUUCUUUAACCACCAUGCCGAACAUACUGCGUUAAGAAUGACUUGGUGGGUUCGCCACACCCUCCCUUCAUUUCUGCAGUUCUGUCUGAACAAGAAUCAUGGCCUGCUCUGAAACCAUGAGGGGAAAUGCAACUCCUGUAAGAAGAACCACACAAUAUUGCUUUUGAAAGCUUGCCAAUAAAUGUACAGCCAUCUUUUUUUCUG
Pogona vitticeps (central bearded dragon) is the source of this 618-nucleotide non-coding RNA. Lineage: Eukaryota; Metazoa; Chordata; Lepidosauria; Squamata; Agamidae. The record is from RefSeq and is a predicted model, not a curated record.